Molecule: small nucleolar RNA, 133 nt
Filed under: Sphenodon punctatus (tuatara)
Lineage: Eukaryota; Metazoa; Chordata; Lepidosauria; Sphenodontia; Sphenodontidae
Description: Small nucleolar RNA SNORA77 (ENSSPUG00000014921.1)
Rfam family: Small nucleolar RNA SNORA77
About the family: ACA63 (SNORA77) is a member of the H/ACA class of snoRNAs that guide the sites of modification of uridines to pseudouridines.
Source: Rfam by way of RNAcentral
GCAGACUCACUCUGUGCCUGACUGCAAUUUUCAGUCUAGGUGCUUUUUCAGCCUGCUAGAGCCAAUAGUCCAGGAUGUUGCGAACGCUUCUCUCUUUGUAGAAGGCUGUUGCAAUUGGUCGUGGGACACAUUU